AUGAUUUUUCCAUUUCCUGUUUUGGCAUUGAAAAAUCAGCCAGAGUCAUUCAAAGAGUGUUUGACCUUUGAUGGUAAAAGAUUAGUGUACUUAAUUUUAUUUAAUUUAGAAGAGAUAAUUCCAAGGGUACUUGAUUAUGAUAUUACAAGAAUUAAAAACAUUUCAUUUUUCUUCAUUCACUCUAGUUUAAUAUUUAAACAAGGCAUUAAAUGAAUUUAGAGAGUGGUGCAUUUAUAAUAAAUCUAAGGGCAGCUCAGAGUUUUCCUCAAGGAUUUUUAACUUUUAAUCUGUCCUCAGAUUAGUGGCAAUGUUAAAAAAAAUUGUAGACAACCAGUAUGGUCUUGUUACCGUCCACCUGACUUUCCUUUUGUGAGCUAGUUUCUUGCCCAGCUCUAAGGCACCAUCUUUGGUCUCUGCCUCCCAAACUGGGCUCCCUUGGGUUCUGGAUGCUCCUGUUCUCUCUAGAUGAUCUUUCCCAUUGAUAAACCUUGUCUCUUCCACUGCCCACCUGCUGCCCCCUACCCUUAACCUCAGCCUUCACUGACCCUAUUGCCCUAGUGGAGGUUGCCCUUCCUCUCUGCAAUACAGUGUCUUCUUUGGAGGCACUCAAGACAGUCAGUUGCAAUUAUGUAUUUAGUUCUUUUUUUCCCCUUGACUGAAUCUGAAAAUUUCCAAUCUCAUCUUCUUCCUGAUAUACCUAUUGCCUUUUCAAAGAGCAGUCUGCAGAGUGUGGGGAAUACAUUUAAAUCAUGCUAAGUAUUUAGGAAUGCUUUCAUAAUGGAACUCUUUUGGACUCUGCUGUUAUAAAUACUCCAACAAUGACCCAGGAUCAGGAUUCAGGAUUAUUUGUAAAAGAUUUCAGUUACUAGUGAGGAAAGAUGAUCCAUGUGAUCAACUCCAUAUUUUAAAAACACUAAGUCACUGAGUUAUGUAAGUUUGGGGAUAUCCAGUGAAGGAUAAAAAAGAAAAACACUUUGUUAAUAAAGUUUUCUGUUUGCAGAAGUUCUUAACAGAUAUUUUUCUCCAGAUUUUAACUGUCUUAUCAUGAGUCAGCCUUAUGAUUGCAAAGCCUCGGUCUUGUUAAUAAUGUAUAACUUCAAAUGAAUCAUGAGCUUAUGCAUAGCACUUGAGUAUGCAAAUUUUAUAAUACUCCUAAUCUGAAGGCUCAUAUUUUUCUGUUUAUUUAAAAGUGUUAGGUCUCAUUUGCAUUGCAUUUUAUAGCUCUAUUAUGUUCUAUAUAAUCUCUACGUGUCACAUUCUAUCUAGUUUGUGUCCCCUGAGGGCACUUUAAUUAUAUGCUUUAGUUCUUGAGUUCUUUUAUGUAUUUUUCAGAAAUAAUUUCUUCUCGUUAUUUUUCUUACAAUGGAUCUUAAAAUAGCAAAAAUAGUUGCUCUGGAACCUGCUGUUAUAGAUGUCAGUUUUCUAGGAGAUUUAUUUUCUUUUUUGGCCUUUAUGACAUUUUGUAUUACUUUUAGAGUCUUAUCUAUAACCCCAGGGCUUCCCUUGUGGCUCAGCUGGUAAAGAAUCCUCCUGCAAUGCGGGA
RNAcentral lists this long non-coding RNA (1543 nucleotides) under Capra hircus (goat). RNAcentral's name for it is "lncRNA (ENSCHIG00010031995.1)". Lineage: Eukaryota; Metazoa; Chordata; Mammalia; Artiodactyla; Bovidae. The record is from RNAcentral.